GGAGGGGUAGCGAAGUGGCUAAACGCGACGGACUGUAAAUCCGUUCCUUUGGGUUCGGCGGUUCGAAUCCGUCCCCCUCCACCA
Molecule: transfer RNA, 84 nt
Filed under: Bacillus benzoevorans
Lineage: Bacteria; Bacillati; Bacillota; Bacilli; Caryophanales; Bacillaceae
Description: tRNA-Tyr
Rfam family: tRNA
About the family: Transfer RNA (tRNA) molecules are approximately 80 nucleotides in length. Their secondary structure includes four short double-helical elements and three loops (D, anti-codon, and T loops). Further hydrogen bonds mediate the characteristic L-shaped molecular structure. tRNAs have two regions of fundamental functional importance: the anti-codon, which is responsible for specific mRNA codon recognition, and the 3' end, to which the tRNAs corresponding amino acid is attached (by aminoacyl-tRNA synthetases). tRNAs cope with the degeneracy of the genetic code in two manners: having more than one tRNA (with a specific anti-codon) for a particular amino acid; and 'wobble' base-pairing, i.e. permitting non-standard base-pairing at the 3rd anti-codon position.
Source: RNAcentral